RNAcentral lists this ribosomal RNA (324 nucleotides) under uncultured Bacillota bacterium. Its description in RNAcentral is "bacterial SSU rRNA". It matches the Rfam family "Bacterial small subunit ribosomal RNA", at positions 28 to 351 of the family's 1533-position model. The record is from RNAcentral. Lineage: Bacteria; Bacillati; Bacillota.
GACGAACGCUGGCGGCGUGCCUAACACAUGCAAGUCGAGCGGAGAUAUUUAGUAAUAGAUAUCUUAGCGGCGGACGGGUGAGUAACGCGUGGGCAACCUGCCUUGAACUGGGGGAUAACACAGGGAAACUUGUGCUAAUACCGCAUAAGAUCAUAGGAUGGCAUCAUCCAGUGAUCAAAGGAGUAAUCCGGUUUGAGAUGGGCCCGCGUCCGAUUAGCUAGUUGGUAGUGUAAUGGACUACCAAGGCGACGAUCGGUAGCCGAACUGAGAGGUUGAUCGGCCACAUUGGGACUGAGACACGGCCCAGACUCCUACGGGUGGCUG